RNAcentral lists this long non-coding RNA (8222 nucleotides) under Eucalyptus grandis. Its description in RNAcentral is "long non-coding RNA (EGRA_LNC005400)". The record is from RNAcentral. Lineage: Eukaryota; Viridiplantae; Streptophyta; Magnoliopsida; Myrtales; Myrtaceae.
AAUGGCGAGCUUCUUAUGGAAAUAAAUUUCGAAGAACGAGUUUCUUGGAAUCCGAUCACAGCACAACUCUCAAUUCUUCCAUUAUUGGCGAGAUACGAAUUGCUCCCCGUUGUAGAGAGCCUCGUUCCACCUUAGAUAAUAGAUAUGACUCGAUUGCUGCUAUAUCGGUAAAGAUUAAUUCUGACUGCUGAAAAGUUGAAAGUUACAUCUGAAUUGAAUUGAAAAGAUGUAGUUUUUAUUUUUAUUUUUUUUGGGUAAAGGAGAAGAUAUGAUUUUAUUCGUAUGUGUCGGCCAUAAAAUGAUGAGGAGAAGUAGUGCGGCAGUGUGUAUUUACUUUGGAUACUUGUUGCAAGAUUUAGAAUGCAUUUUCAUUUUCACUUCGAGUUUUUCUUUAGACUAGUGAAGUGUGUCCUCUGUAUGACUUCCGCAUUGUCAGCACCAGCGGAUUUUAGACCAUGCGGAAGAAAAUGACACAGCUUUUUGAAUGCUAUGCAUGUAUGUGUUCGAUGCUAUGCCACCAUAAGCAUUUUUCAGCUUCCAUAAGACCAAAAUAUUCAUGGCUUGAAUCACGCAUCUUGAUCCCGGGGCAUUGCAACUGGUGCAACUACAGAUUACUAUAUUUUGUUUCCUAGCACUGGCAAUGCUUACCUGGUAAGCUUAUUUAUCAAUAUAUGCAGACUGCUGCAUUAAUGGAUGAAGAAAACAGUGGAGAUUGUAUUACCACGAUACACUCUUUUUCCCCCCAAAUGCUUUGGGAUCAGAAGUCUCACUUCUUGUUAUGAUACACCGAUGAUUUUGCAUGUCAAGCCUUAUGAGAAUUUGGUCUUUAGAUGAGAUAGUCUCUUUGCUUCCUCCUCGGAAAGACAUCUGGGAUAAUGAUUUUUAAAUUGCAAUUCUCUUCUAAAGUCAGGUGCAAGGAAGGUGCUGGGGCUCUUCUUUAUUAACAGGAAUUGUGGUGAUUGGCGAUGCAAGUUCAGCUGGCUCUAACAAAAAUGGGGGAGUGGCAAAGGACAGCAGAAAGUGAUGUUGAAGUUUCUUCGGAAUAUAGUUUACAUGGAAGGCAAGAAACAAUCUGCUUCAUGGUUAAGCUACUUCUCCCUUCGAGCAUGUUCUUAGAUUGAUCGAUUUGUUACUUAACAUCGAUUUGAAGGCUAUCUACUUUCAAAAGGAUACAUGUUGUGCUUAUGAUUAUCUAUAUAAUGUAAUGAUGGGGAUAGUGAAAAGCUAAAAUGUGUGAGAUUUGCUUAUACUGUCAUCUAUAAUGAGUAUGUCUGUUUACAUAACUAUUUUCUUGCUACCAUCUUUCUUGCCAAUCUAAACAUUAGGUUUGUCAACCUAAUUUAUGGUUGUCAAAAGCAGUCUCCGUCUUGAAAAUUUUGUGAAUUUAUGUUAUGACAUAGGAGUUUGUCAAAAAGUGCUCCAGUGCACUUCUUAAACAAUUGAAUCAGCUAAUGCUUAUUUAGACAAUGAGAAAGAGUUCAGAAACUUGCGGUGUCACAAAUCACUCGAUGGUAUUGAUAGGGGAAUAUGCUAUAUUUAAAAUACUUUGUUGGGUAUAUGUGUAUUCUGUUGUUGUAUCUAACACUUAACUCUUCCAAUACCUAUGCCAAUAAAAGCGCUAGCAUUUAAUUAAUUGAGAUUAGGGUGUAACUAACCUGGUAAAUUCAUCCUAAAGGCUCGAAAUUAGGGAGUAAUUUUAAAGUUAGGGGGCUAAUUUUGUUAAGAGUUGUGGUUGUUUUCAUUGUGCUUGAUAACGUUUUUUGUUGGACUUUUUAACACUAUAUCAUAUUAGACCUCAAUUGUUUCUAACAUUUUCCUCUACCUUAAGUUUUUGAAUUUGAUUUUCUAACAAUUGUACCCCUUAAGGGUACUUUAAACCAAACACUCCGGUGCUUCGAGCAAAUUUAUGUAAUUAUUCGAAAACCCUUAACACGACUCUCUUGCCCCUUCUUUGACACGCUGCCAACCCAGACCUCCUCAUCAGCGUCCCCAUCAAUUUGUCCAUCUAUCUCUUCUUCUUCUUCUUCUUUUGUCGAUUGAUUGUCUUCAAGCACAACCUUGGCAUCUUUGACCCGAUGCCUACCAUGCUCUCCUAUCCUUAAUUCCUUUCCGUUGACUUUGGUUAUGUUAAUUGGAUCAUCAUCAUCUUCAUCAAUACUUUCUCUGGUUUUAUUGCCCCCCUGUUGCACCGUUUUUUCUUUAAUCUGCAAAAUAAAGAGGAGUAAAUAAAUCUUCGAUAACAUAAUUACUAAUGCUGGCAUCGUGACUAAAGGUUCUCUUUAUUGGCGAUAUACUUCCCACCACUAAAUUUUUGUAAUAGCAAAACCAAUGAAAUAUUGUAGAUUAAGUUAAAAAAUUGAAGAUAUGUUUCAUGAUAUUUUUCCUCUCAAAUAGAUUGUCUAUGGAAAAAGGAAAUGAAAUGCAAUUUUAGUCUGCCAAUUAGAUUUCUCAAAAUUUGGGGCACCAAUUAAAAAAUGUAUGUAUUUAAUUUCAUAAUCACAAAAUAGUGGAAAACUACAUUGUAAGACAAAAUGAUGUAUUCCUUAUUUAUAAACAAAAAAUCUAAUUAUCGAUGAGUGUAAACUUCCCAAAGAAAAUCAAUCAAUUGUUAGAUCUUAUUCUAAAGAAUGAGAAAUAAUUGAACUUAAAAAGGACAAACUCCAAAGUUUUAACGUGCAUUGGCUACCCAACCUGCAAACAAGUCCAUUGUAAACUGAGGACAAACUCCAAAGUUUUAAAGAGCAGGGCAAGAAAAUCAAUCAAUGGUUUCCCUCUGAGGGAAGAACUGAGGCCAAGGCUGAACCGCCAGCCCAUUGGCGACCCAACCACCUGCAAACUGAGGAUGGAAGAUGUGGCGGAACUUACGCCGGCCCUACUGGACAAGUCUUUGACAGAGUACUAGGAAGAAAUCCAGCGCAUGUAUAACCGUGGCCUGACAGUGUCGAGCACCGGUCCUGCCACUAGUACUGUGGUUGGUUGGAGAAACUAACACUCAGCCUACUGUGCCAACCACAUGUGAUUUUUAAUUAGUUAUAUAAUUAUGAUAAUGAUAGAUACAUGUACAGAACAAGAUCUGUUUGGUCCUGGGAUGAGAAAAGGAGGACAUUGAUCUGACCGUAUGGAUUCAAAAUUCAAUGAGGAUAUGAAAUGAUUCUUUCUCUAAGAUGAGGACUUCAAGGUCGUUGUGUUCUGCUUAGUGUUGAUUUCUGCCUGCACAGAUCUGUUUCCGAAACAGAAGCCUUGCCUUGUGCGGUUUGCGUUAUCUAAUGCAAAUUGCAGAUAGUUCUCUCUUGGCAAGAUCUGAAGAUCUUUUAGCUUCGAAAGCAUGCACAUCACGAAUAUGGUUCACUGAGUAACAUGUUUGAAAGAUGUCUAUGUAAGUUGUCUGCAGUCUCAAUCCAAGUCGGAGUUCUAAAUCUCUACGCAUGAUCUGCAAAAACAGCUUAGCUUUUGCAUGUUUAUUCGUAAAUCUUAAUGAAGUAAAGACAAUCAGAUCGUCUUGGACAUGAUGGGAUGGCCCCUCAUCCGCUCAAAUUUCAAAGCUAAUAAGGCGCUGAAUAACGGGCUUGAUUGGUCAAAAUAUGCAUAGGCCAAUCUGGAGUCAAAGACUGGUAGAAAUCCCUGAAGUGACGUGCCUUGGUUUCUAACGCCAGUGGUCUUCCUUUCCCGUGCAUGGAUGGGAGCUUUGAUCCUCCACAUCCCACGACUAACAUGCAAACAAGACUUGUAUCCGACCAAGAAGAGCUGUUCAGCUGGUUUCCACAAGCUCAUUGUAUCCGAUUAUAAAUGCCUAAAUUGGAUAUUUUAAACCAUGUUACCUGAUCUUAUCUAAACUCAGUCACCUUCAGCACCUCCAUCCCAGCCUCAGCGAUCCUCUGACUCAAGAUGAAGGUCAAAAACACUGAUUGCAGUGCUGAUUUUUGUUUUGAAUUCAUACUUUCUUCUCUCAAACACGAAUACACCGAAAGCAUUCAUUUGCUCAUUUCACUUUUCACUUCAACUAUUGGUUUUGGUUGAUUCCAGCUCUUCACCUAGAUACAGAACAAGCUGAAUGUGAGAUAGGAGUAUACUCGUAAAGCUGAUGCAGUUAUCAUCAACCUGUCACCAUAAAGUACUAUUUUGGCAUGUCUUUGUAACGGAUGAUUCUCGGCUUUAUACGGUGCAUCGCAAAAGCUGAGAAAGCUAAGAAUGAACCGUACUCUCAUUAGGGUAGAAUUGAAGGCCUUCUAUCGAUUUGUUUUUCUCCACUCACUAACACGACAUUAGCAUGCUGCCAUGUGUACACUAGUUUUGCUUAUAGAAAUGCGCCGUGAAAGAGGGGGUGUCACGGUCAGUGUACACGCUUAUCAUUUCCUUACAUGACUGCAGGAUCUUGAUUAUGAUAACUAGGAAUCUACUUAGGGCCUUCUGUACCAUCAUACAAGGUGCCUACUUUUCCAAUUCACUUACAUUUUAUUUUGGAGAAAUUCAGAGGAAUCUGUUCUUUGCUCCACUUCUAGAACAUGGGUUCUACUGUGAGUAGACCACGUUGAUGUCGAUAUACAUGAACUUCAUGUUGUCUCUUCCAUUGAUGGAGUUUAAUAUCUUGUUAAACCUUAAUGGUUCAGAUCAGGUGAAACUAGAACCUUGAGAAGAGUUCAUUGACCGCCACAUGGAUUAUUUGCAAGUGGGACUUUUGGGAAAAGUGAUUUCGGGGGAAGUCGGGGAAACCAAGAUCUCUAGGAGAAUCAUUUUCAUCCGACAAAGCUAUAGAAAGAGCCAACCAAGCUUUUGUCCCUUAAAACAAGCAGCAAAACAGAAAACCAAAUCUUGGACCUCUAGCUGGAUAGACUCGUGUACUGUCCCUCGAGUUUGGAGGUGGAUCGCUGAAUCGGCAGUUUGUUUCACAGUGAUUGAGAUGACUAUGAUGAUGAUGAUGAGAUUGAUAUUGAGUGGACCAUCAGUGCGAUACUUCAUAGAUGCAGGGAAAUUUGCGCAGAUAGCAACAAGAACGAUCGACGAAGGAGUAAUUUUCCUUCAUUAUCAAGAAGAUGUUUGCCUGUAGAAGUGGAAUCCUUGUAUGAAAAAUUGUUCCAUUGUGGUCCAUUCAUGCUACAGUCUCCAGUACGAAGAAAAAUUUGUCCAAAAAAAAUUCUAAACCUAUUAUACUCUUGCCAAUUCACUUUAAACAUUUCAAUUUUGUCAAUUGAGUCUUAUAACCUUUCAAUGUUUUAUCAAUUUAGUCCAUUUGGCUACUUUUGAACAUAAAUUGCUAAUAUAAACGCCGAUCGUUUUACGUAACAUGAUCGAUAUUGACGUGGAUAAUCUUUAAUAAUAUUUUAGUAUGUACAUGUCUUGUUUCUUUAGUCAAGUAUGUGUGGAUCUUCUAUUUCCAAGUGGGUCCUGAAUAAUUAUUUGCUUGUCCAGUAAUUCUCUCUUUGACAAGUUUUUGACUUUUUUAGACAUAGAAUCUGCCCUCCUCGCCAUCAUCAUUUCCAACCUUGUCUUCAGUUGGAUAUUUGGAUAUUUUGUAAUUUUGAUGAUCCGUUAAGAAUGUCACCAUAAAUUGUGGAAGAUAUCUCUGUCACAGCUCCUCAAACUUGUGAUCUUUUCACCCCUUUCCAAAAAGCAAUUAUAAUGAACAUUUUUCUUUUUUAAUAACUAAAAAGUAACAUUUUUUUUUUGUAAGUUGAAAAAGUAGAAGAAAAUAAAAGGAGCAUUCUAAAUUUCCUCACAUUGAGCCAAAGAAUGAGAUCACAUAAGAACAAUUAAGGAAUUUUAUCGGUUGUCAUGUCUCGAUAGAAAGUAAGUAGUUAAUUUCUUUCCUUUACCUUUUUGUCCUUUUUAUUUGACCAUUUUGCCUUUAUUUUAUCUUUACUUUAUAAUUAGAGUAAUACAUACACAAAGACUAAAUGUGGCUCUCAAAAAGUGAGACAAUUAGGGGUCUUGACUUAUAUAUACCAAAAUUUAAGUUAGAGACAAGACACAGGCUAUGCACAUGUAUGAAACAAGAUUGUUAUGUAUGAUUAACAUAUUUCUAUUUAUUAAAGAAAGUGGAUGGAACCUAAUUGUGUUAUUAUUAUUAUUAUUAUUAUUAUUAUUAUUAUUAUUAUUAUUAUUAUUGUGGUUUCUAGUCGAGACCAUCUUGAUUUCCAAAGGUUGGGUCCAAACUCCAAAACCCUGCCUCCACAUCUUAAAAGAGAUGUGUAAUCAAUGAGGCCCAUCUGAUAAGAGGAAUAAAGUGGAUGAAGUGAGUAGUUACUAAAGAAAGUGAUGAGAUUGUUUUUACCUUUUAUUUUUUUCUUAAUUUUUUCAUGAGGAUACUCAAUUUUUUCUUUUUUAACUUUGACCCAAUCCGGAACAAUGCCCGACUCAAAAAGGCUCGAAAUGUUCAGUUCGGGUCUAGGAAUGAUAUUUACGUUUAUCGUCACCUAUUUCUUUAAGAGUCUUUGAUAUGAUAUGAUUUGUACUCUUUACAUAUUGCUUCUUCUAUGAAAUGAGAUCUGAUAAUAAUUAAUAAUCUUUUAUAUGAAAUAGUAUAUAAAGACACGCACAUAUAGAGAGAGAGUGAUAUCAAAAGAAAAAGUAAAGAAAAAUAUUGUGCUGUGUCAGCAGAGAGCUUACAUUAGGAAACUCCUGUGUCAAGUCACGUGACAAAAUGGUGUUAAGUAACCGGGGGACUGCGACGGCCACUUCUGUAGCGUAGUUCUUUCCAGCUCUCUACUUCGCUCCUCCUUCUCAACUCCUAAAGCCACCAUGAGUUCCUCUUCUUCCGACGAUGAGGGCGGCGGCCCGAAGCUCCCUCACGACGUCGCCGUCGAGAUCCUGAAGCGGUUGCCGGCGAGAUCCCUCCUCCGAUUCAGGUGCGUCUGCCGGUCGUGGCGAUCCGCCAUCGACGACCCUCGUUUCGUGACCCUCCACUGGAGCCACUCCGCCCACCACGCCUCCAGUCGGCAUCUCGCGUGUCUAGAUUGCGGCGACGACGCCGUUCAGAACCGGUGCUCUCUGUUCCCCAACGGGCCUCUCGCCCGGCCUCCUUCCCCGUCGCAAAUCGAAAUCCCGUUCGUUGCUCCUCCCAACCGUUACGCCCUCGUCGGUUCGUGUAACGGUUUGAUCUGCGUCUCGGAGAGUUCCAGUGACGGCACUGAGCGGGCGCUGUAUCUGUGGAAUCUAUUCACCAGGAAGCACAAGGCGGUUCAGCUCCCCCGUCCGGAGCGGGGGCAACCCCUUUCCAUGGGGGCCGCUCGUGUAGCUCUAGGGUUUUGCUUCGACGCUAAGUCUAAUGACUAUCGUGUCGUGAGGGUUAUCCGAUUUGUAAGUGAUCGCCAUCGGCGCUUCCGCGACAGGGAGUCUCGAAUCGAGGUUUAUUCGCUCCGUGCAGAUUCAUGGAGGACUUCAAAUUGUGAGGUUCCUCUUCUCUGCCACGGCAGCAGUGCGGUCUUCUUGAAUGGGAAUCUGCACUGGUGUUCUUUUAAUGGAAAGUGGGAUGGAUACGGAUCCAAAGCCUUGUUCAAUAUUGCGGGUGAGGUGUUUGACGUAUCCAUAGCCUUGUUCAAUAUCGCGGGUGAGGUGUUUGAUAAAAUGGCUCUGCCAGAAGAGAUGCUUCUCAUAGACAGUCUCCAUUUUGUGUUGUCCGUGGCGGUAUUGAAUGGCUUGCUGGCUGUAUUGUUUAGCGGUGGGGAGGCGACUGAGCGGUUUGAUUUGAAUUGCGCUUGUUUCGUUUGGGUUAUGAGAGACUACGGUGACCCUGAGUCUUGGACUAAGCUGUAUACUUUCGAGGCUACUGUACCGGUAACAAGAUUUGAUGGCUUCACGUGGAAUGGCGAGCUUCUUAUGGAAAUAUAUUGUAAAGAACGAGUUUCUUGGAAUCCGAUCACGGGACAAUUCUCAAUUCUUCCAUUGUCAGCGAGAUACGAACUGGUCCCCAUCAUAGAGAGCCUCUUUCCACUCUAGAUAUGACUCGAUUGCUGCUACAUUUAUUGGUAAAGAUUGACAGUUGAAAGUUACAUCUGAAAUGAGAAGAUAUGGUUUUAUUCGUAGGUGCUCCAUUUACUUUGGAUACUUCUUGCAAGCUUUAGAAUGCAUUUUCAUUUUCACUUCGUGUCCUCUGUAUGAGUUAAAGUAUGCAACUCAAGACUGCAUGUAUGACUUCUGCAUUGUCAGCACCAGCAGAUUUUAGACCAUGCGGAAGAAAAUGACCAAGCUUGUCAAAUGCUAUGCAUGUAUGUGUUCGAUGCUAUGCC